UACGUAGGCAGCGAGCGUUGUUCGGAGUUACUGGGCGUAAAGGGUGUGUAGGCGGUUUCUUAAGUUUGGUGUGAAAUCUCCCGGCUUAACUGGGAGGGUGCGCCGAAUACUGAGAGGCUCGAGUGCGGGAGAGGAGAGUGGAAUUCCUGGUGUAGCGGUGAAAUGCGUAGAUAUCAGGAGGAACACCGAUGGCGAAGGCAGCAAACUGGGCAUCAACUGACGCUGAGGCGCGAAAGCGUGGGUAGCAAACAGG
This 253-nucleotide ribosomal RNA is filed under the name uncultured bacterium. RNAcentral describes it as "partial 16S ribosomal RNA". It matches the Rfam family "Bacterial small subunit ribosomal RNA", at positions 524 to 776 of the family's 1533-position model. The record is from RNAcentral.